GAUGAACGCUGGCGGCGUGCCUAACACAUGCAAGUCGAACGGAGAUUACGGACGGAAGUUUUCGGAUGGAAGGCUGUAAUUCUUAGUGGCGGACGGGUGAGUAACGCGUGGGCAACCUGCCCUAUACAGGGGGAUAGCAGCUGGAAACGGCUGGUAAGACCGCAUAAGUCGGCGAGACCGCAUGGUUUUGCCGGGAAAUGAGCAAUCAGGUAUAGGAUGGGCCCGCGUCCGAUUAGCCAGUUGGCAGGGUAAAAGCCUACCAAAGCAACGAUCGGUAGCCGGACUGAGAGGUCGGACGGCCACAUUGGGACUGAGACACGGCCCAAACUCCUACGGGAGGCAGCAGUGGGGGAUAUUGCACAAUGGAGGAAACUCUGAUGCAGCGACGCCGCGUGAGUGAAGAAGUAUUUCGGUAUGUAAAGCUCUAUCAGCAGGGAAGAUGAUGACGGUACCUGACUAAGAAGCCCCGGCUAACUACGUG
RNAcentral lists this ribosomal RNA (481 nucleotides) under uncultured bacterium. RNAcentral's name for it is "partial 16S ribosomal RNA". It matches the Rfam family "Bacterial small subunit ribosomal RNA", at positions 28 to 507 of the family's 1533-position model. The record is from RNAcentral.